GGCAAAUCCGGAAAAUCAAGGCUGAGGCGUGAUGACGAGGCACUACGGUGCUGAAGCAACAAAUGCCCUGCUUCCAGGAAAAGCCUCUAAGCAUCAGGUAACAUCAAAUCGUACCCCAAACCGACACAGGUGGUCAGGUAGAGAAUACCAAGGCGCUUGAGAGAACUCGGGUGAAGGAACUAGGCAAAAUGGUGCCGUAACUUCGGGAGAAGGCACGCUGACACGUAGGUGAAGUGAUUUACUCAUGGAGCUGAAGUCAGUCGAAGAUACCAGCUGGCUGCAACUGUUUAUUAAAAACACAGCACUGUGCAAACACGAAAGUGGACGUAUACGGUGUGACGCCUGCCCGGUGCCGGAAGGUUAAUUGAUGGGGUCAGCGCAAGCGAAGCUCCUGAUCGAAGCCCCGGUAAACGGCGGCCGUAACUAUAACGGUCCUAAGGUAGCGAAAUUCCUUGUCGGGUAAGUUCCGACCUGCACGAAUGGCGUAAUGAUGGCCAGGCUGUCUCCACCCGAGACUCAGUGAAAUUGAACUCGCUGUGAAGAUGCAGUGUACCCGCGGCAAGACGGAAAGACCCCGUGAACCUUUACUAUAGCUUGACACUGAACAUUGAGCCUUGAUGUGUAGGAUAGGUGGGAGGCUUUGAAGUGUGGACGCCAGUCUGCAUGGAGCCGACCUUGAAAUACCACCCUUUAAUGUUUGAUGUUCUAACGUGGACCCGUAAUCCGGGUUGCGGACAGUGUCUGGUGGGUAGUUUGACUGGGGCGGUCUCCUCCUAAAGAGUAACGGAGGAGCACGAAGGUUGGCUAAUCCUGGUCGGACAUCAGGAGGUUAGUGCAAUGGCAUAAGCCAGCUUGACUGCGAGCGUGACGGCGCGAGCAGGUGCGAAAGCAGGUCAUAGUGAUCCGGUGGUUCUGAAUGGAAGGGCCAUCGCUCAACGGAUAAAAGGUACUCCGGGGAUAACAGGCUGAUACCGCCCAAGAGUUCAUAUCGACGGCGGUGUUUGGCACCUCGAUGUCGGCUCAUCACAUCCUGGGGCUGAAGUAGGUCCCAAGGGUAUGGCUGUUCGCCAUUUAAAGUGGUACGCGAGCUGGGUUUAGAACGUCGUGAGACAGUUCGGUCCCUAUCUGCCGUGGGCGCUGGAGAACUGAGGGGGGCUGCUCCUAGUACGAGAGGACCGGAGUGGACGCAUCACUGGUGUUCGGGUUGUCAUGCCAAUGGCACUGCCCGGUAGCUAAAUGCGGAAGAGAUAAGUGCUGAAAGCAUCUAAGCACGAAACUUGCCCCGAGAUGAGUUCUCCCUGAGACUUAGAGUCUCCUGAAGGAACGUUGAAGACGACGACGUUGAUAGGCCGGGUGUGUAAGCGCAGCGAUGCGUUGAGCUAACCGGUACUAAUGAACCGUGAGGCUUAACCUUACAACGCCGAAG
RNAcentral lists this ribosomal RNA (1426 nucleotides) under Salmonella enterica subsp. enterica serovar Senftenberg. RNAcentral describes it as "partial 23S ribosomal RNA". It matches the Rfam family "Bacterial large subunit ribosomal RNA", at positions 1535 to 2925 of the family's 2925-position model. The record is from RNAcentral. Lineage: Bacteria; Pseudomonadati; Pseudomonadota; Gammaproteobacteria; Enterobacterales; Enterobacteriaceae.